GCGUUGGUGGCGCAGUGGCUAGCGCUGCUGUUUUUGAAAUUUUCAACAAGGGUUCGACCCCCGUGGGAGUCA
Non-coding RNA from Caenorhabditis brenneri, 72 nucleotides. The record is from the annotation of a GenBank genome assembly. NCBI's taxonomy places the organism in Eukaryota, Metazoa, Nematoda, Chromadorea, Rhabditida, Rhabditidae.